Lolium rigidum is the source of this 2551-nucleotide long non-coding RNA. RefSeq lists it as uncharacterized. NCBI's taxonomy places the organism in Eukaryota, Viridiplantae, Streptophyta, Magnoliopsida, Poales, Poaceae. The transcript is spliced from 3 exons. The record is from RefSeq and is a predicted model, not a curated record.
ACCUAUUAUAAGAUAAGAAUAAAAUUAAAAUAAAUUGGUGGGUUCCUCCCACACUUUCAUCUAUUUUUUCUCGUUUUAUACCUAUAUAGAUGACUUACAAUUUUUAGAAGUAACUGGACAAUUUUUUAUUACUCUUUCUAGAAUACACUAUCUGAUUACUUUGAAGUCUCGGCCUAACCAACCGCAUCCCAUGGUCUUCUAAGCUCCUCAGCUGGUGUUGACAUUCCAAGAGUACCGGAUGUAGGAACUGAAUUGUAACUAGUACCAGAUGUAGGAACUGAAUUUUAACUAACACUGAUAUUUCAAGAGUCCCAAGCGACAUAUCUGACAUUGCAGCAAAACUUGCGUGCCUGGAACGAGUGCAGUCCUCCGCCAAAAAAAUUGAGGCAACCACUUGAGUAAGGGGCACUAGAGAUGUUUCAGACGGAGCAUGCAUGCGUAGCACCCCUCUUUAACUGAACAUUCCUAAAAAAGUCCCUGCCUAGCAUUCCUGGGAAGCGAUGGCAGCUGGGCUGGCUGGUCCGUCGCUGGAGUAAGUUGUCAUGCAAGAGUUCUGUAUGGUUGGCAGGACUUAUAAUGUUAUUGUGAGAGAGGGAGGGUCACUUUUGCUCUUCUAACAAAUUCACUUCUUUUACUCUUUUCUUGUUUUGGGGGUCUUAUCAUGUUUUGGGGAUCUUAUCAAUAUAUUUUCAGUUUUAAAGUGAUGAUAAGAAGUAAUCACUUCUCAAGUAAGAUUUUUCCGGUUGUUGGUUGUUGGUCUCUUUUGUGCCAACACUUCCAAAUUAUCUGAUGCAAUGUAUCUAUCAAUGGAUUUGAGGAAAUAUUUUAAGGGCACUUAGAGAGAAAAGAUCGUUUGCACACCUGCGAGAUUUAAACGAAAUGACUUUUUUUCGCAUGAUUUUCUGUUCAUUUAAUUGGCAUAUCUUAGCAGCCCAGUCAGUUCAAAGUUUGAUUUUGCCUUCGGUAUCAAAAGUUGUUAGUUCAGAGUUUUCGAUAAUUAGACAAAAUUUGAACUAUCUGUUUUGAUGUCUAUUCUGGCCAAAUAAACAACAAUAAUAUUAGUACUGCCGUAAGGUCUUCUCUGCAUGGCCUUUUAAUUCUCCUGGCACAUUGAUUUCUUGAUUGUCUUAGUGCUACGUCCUUGCAAAGGACAAAAAACCCCUAAAUUAGGAGCUAAAAUUGACCAUAUGGUGGUCAAUCUGUUAAAGUAUCAUAGAACUUAGUACUCUAUAUGAAUGGUAGUUCAAGCCAAUAUCAUGGUGAUGGAAGUUUUGUUCUUUUCUCGGCUACAAUUUGACCGGGGACAAAAAUCGUGUAGGUAACUGUUUCAUUCCUAGAAGACAUAGUGUGGGAUGAGUGUCGCCGGCAAUCUAGCUGGACAUAAGCAGCCAUAGUGCGAUUUGAAAUCAGCCGUUCAUGCCUACAAGGUUAUGUCUACUUUUGGCCAGUGCCCACUACUGAGCACCCUGCCAGAAUUGUCGAGUCAAUGGAGCACACUUUAUGCUUUGAUAUCGAAAAUAGGCUAUCUGAUUUACCGAUUAAUAGGUACCGUUCACGAAAUCACAAAUAUUGUAGCAAAGUAGGUAGUUCAUGCAACUGAGCCUGGGGAUUUGCAGUUUUCAAAUCCUAGAUGAAUUCAAAGUAGACUGCCACCAAUUUUUUUCUCAUGUAGUUAAUUUGUCAGAAAAUUUGGACCAGUUAUUGGCACUUUUUAUGCUCCUUAUGACCCUCUGAAUGUAUUCUAAACACAAGCAAAGAGAUCUCUUCCGUAGUCUUGUGUUCUCUACAAGCUAACCACUAAUUCUGAAAACCGCUUUCUUGCAUGGGUAUACGACAUCAUGGGUGAUUUACCUUCUGGUUCUGAAGGAGUACCAAUGGAGGAGGAUGCUUUAUUCCAGUUGCAAGGAUGGCACAGUUCUGUUAGGACUUCCUCCAGCAGGCGGACUCGAUGUUGUAAUUGAAGUGGAUAUCCCAGGUUCUAUCAGUCAGGAAUAAAGAGGCAAAGGAGAUUGUGUGCAUCAAAGGGAAAUCUAACACUCGGGAGCAUACAGUGCCCUACCUUUGUGCCGGCGCUGAGGCUCAUCUCUGCUAUGAAAGGAGGCUGCGAGAAAGACGGUAGCAUCGCCAACUGUAAACUGCUGUGUUAAGUGGGCCCCAGAUUUAUAUGAUUUGGUAACAGUCUCUUAUGGAUCAUUCAGUGACGAGCCCCCAGCAGCAUCCGAGGUUUAGGAAGGACAAGGGAAGCAGCGGCAGCGGCCAAAAAAGCAUGGAAGCAGUUUCCUGCACGAGAGUGUAAUGGUGAUCUAGGGGAGGGUGUCAUAUUUUUUGUGAAUAUAGAUAAGACAGCUGUAGUAGUUUUUUUUUAAGCUUAAGCUGUAGUAGAAUAUAACCCCGCAGGCCUGUAGUAGGGUUCUGUACGUAGCCUGCCUGUAUGUCAUGUUUGUUUGUAGGAACGACCGAACUGACGGUGUCUCCUAUCCUGCAACAUCAUGUUCCGACGAUUUGCCGUAUCUCUGUUAAGAACCAAUUGUAUACCAGCUGAAAGUUUAUU